CAGGCUCUCUUGCAUACCAAAAACUUGAGGCAUUUGAGAAGAAUACUUCAUUUUGAGAUCCAACAACUUUCACAUACAUGGGAUAAAACACAGAAAAUGAGGAGAGCAAAAAAUCCAACUUAAAUAAAUAAGAACAUUUUGCUACAAUAAGAAAACACUGGAGGUGUAAGCUACAUGACUGGGGCAGUCGUGAUUUUAGCCCGAAUAAGCCGUCGGGGAUGGAGUUUUCAGGGCUCUGGAAUUCGUGGGGAAGAGAGUUUUCAGGGCUCUCCAACACCGAAGGUUGAAGCUAUAUGCCCAGGCUACGCGUGAUAUAUGAGACAACACAAUUUUUUGCGAUUCCCGUGGGAAGAUGGCCGGAGUUCUUAGAGCACGGUUGCGCUUUGGGCUUCCGCUUCACUGUUCUCCAAUUUGGGGGAGCUAUGGAUUUUCCCUCCCUAUUUUCUAUUCUUUUUUUGUUCUUUUCUUUGUCCU
This 474-nucleotide long non-coding RNA is filed under the name Olea europaea (common olive). Its description in RNAcentral is "long non-coding RNA (OEUR_LNC002174)". Lineage: Eukaryota; Viridiplantae; Streptophyta; Magnoliopsida; Lamiales; Oleaceae. The record is from RNAcentral.